RNAcentral lists this long non-coding RNA (288 nucleotides) under Pan troglodytes (chimpanzee). Its description in RNAcentral is "long non-coding RNA NONPTRT010139". The record is from RNAcentral. Lineage: Eukaryota; Metazoa; Chordata; Mammalia; Primates; Hominidae.
UUUUUAGGCUUAGAAAAUCCUUUGCAUUGCCAAAAUCAGAUUAAAGUUUACGUAUAUUUUCUUCCAGUUUUUUAUGGAUUAUUUCAUAUCAUAUAUAUUGUUUACAUGUAUUUUUAAAAUUAAUUUGGAAUUAAUUUUUGUUUAUGGUCGGAUCUAUUAUACAUCAGCUUUUCCCAAAUAACUAAACCCUCAUCCCAAGGCUAUUAGGUGCGUAAAAAGAUGCUCAGCAUCACUGGUAAUUAGGGAAAUGCAAACUAAAACCAUGAUGUGAUGCCACUAUACACCAAU